UACGGGGGGGGCAAGCGUUGUUCGGAAUUACUGGGCGUAAAGGGCUCGUAGGCGGCCAACUAAGUCAGACGUGAAAUCCCUCGGCUUAACCGGGGAACUGCGUCUGAUACUGGAUGGCUUGAGAUUGGGAGAGGGAUGCGGAAUUCCAGGUGUAGCGGUGAAAUGCGUAGAUAUCUGGAGGAACACCGAUGGCGAAGGCAGCCUCCUGGGCCAAUACUGACGCUCAUGCACGAAAGCGUGGGGAGCAAACAGG
RNAcentral lists this ribosomal RNA (253 nucleotides) under uncultured bacterium. RNAcentral's name for it is "partial 16S ribosomal RNA". It matches the Rfam family "Bacterial small subunit ribosomal RNA", at positions 524 to 776 of the family's 1533-position model. The record is from RNAcentral.